GAAAGAGAAUUCAUAUAGCCGACACCUUAAGUUGAGUUGAGUUGUAUCAUUUGCUCCUAAGAUAUGCCAAAAAUAUACUAACUACUCGCUAUAUUUCCAAAAUUGAAUUAAAAAUUUCUUUACUUAUCAAUGAAUUAUAAAUCAUUAAUAUUAGAAUUAUCACACUUUUUAGUUUAAAAUCAAUUGAAUACUUAGAAGUGUAUUGAUCACAAAUAGGAAUAAGCAUGCAAUUAGAUUUUUUAUAUUUUUACGCCAGUUUACAAAUACAUAGAUUUCACCGUAUAUUUUUUUA
RNAcentral lists this unclassified non-coding RNA (292 nucleotides) under Hevea brasiliensis (rubber tree). The record is from RNAcentral. Lineage: Eukaryota; Viridiplantae; Streptophyta; Magnoliopsida; Malpighiales; Euphorbiaceae.